GCCAUUUGGCUGCUACGCCAUCUGGUGAAUGGCUCGGCUCGGAUGCCGACGAAGGACGUGCCAAGCUGCGAUAAGCCUGAGGGAGCCGCACGGAGGCUAAGAACUCAGGAUCUCCGAAUGGGAAUCCCCACCGCAAUUGCCACGCGCAAUGGGGAACGUCCGGAAUUGAAACAUCUUAGUACGGACAGGAAGAGAAAUCGUAACGAGACGCCGUUAGUAACCGCGAGUGAAGGCGGCAUAGCCCAAACCGAAGCCCUUCGGGGCAAUGUGGUGUGUGGGCUGGCUCUCAUCGCCUGAACGUCUGUGUGAAGUCUCCUGAAAUGGAGCGCGAGACAGGGUGAAAGCCCCGUAUCACAGUCCUUUACGGCGUGCGCCAGUACCGGAGUAGCGGGGGUUGGAAUUCCCUCGUGAACGAGGCAGGCAUCGACUGCCAAGGCUAAGUACUCUCCGAGACCGAUAGCGAACAAGUAGCGCGAGCGAACGCUGAAAAGUACCCUCCAACGGGGGGUGAAAUAGGGCCUGAAAUCAGAUGGUUAUAGAGCGACUGGGCACAAAAGGCCUCGUCGGGAACGAGCUGGACGAGAGUCCACAGUAGGACCAACGAGGAGCCGGUGUCGAGUCGUGCGUUUUGAAAAACGAGCCAGGGAGUGUACCUGUUUGGCGAGUCUAACUGGAGUAUCCAGGAAGGCAUAGGGAAACCGACAUGGCCGCAGAUCGGGUUACCGAUCCAGGGCCGCCGUCUUCAAGGGCGGGGAGUCAAACGGGUACGACCCGAAACCGGACGAUCUACGCGCAAACAAGGUGAAGCAUGGCGAAAGCUAUGUGGAGGCCUGUUAGGGUUGGUGUCUUACAAUACCCUCCCGUGAUUUGCGUGUAGGGGUGAAAGGCCCAUCGAGUCCGGCAACAGCUGGUUCCAACCGAAACAUGUCGAAGCAUGACCUCUGCCGAGGUAGUUCGUGGGGUAGAGCGACCGAUUGCGGAGACCGCCUCCGAGAGGAGUCGGCUCCGCUGUCAAACUCCAAACCUACGGACGCUGUCGACGCAGGGAGUCCGGUCUGCGGGGUAAGCCUGUGGACCGUGAGGGAGACAACCCAGAGCUGGGUUAAGGUCCCCAAGUGCAGGCUAAGUGUAAGAUCAAAGGUGGUCCCGAGCCACAGACAGCCGGGAGGUGAGCUUAGAAGCAGCUACCCUCCAAGGAAAGCGUAACAGCUCACCGGCCGAGGUUCGGGGCGCCCAAAAUGAUCGGGGCUCAAGUCUGCCACCGAGACCUAGCCACGGAGUUCACACUCCGAUUGCGUAGGUUGGCACUCUGUUCGGGCGGAAGUACGGGCGAGAGCUCGCAUGGACCGAAUAGAGAAGAAGAUCCUGGUCGUAGUAGCAGCGAAAGUCGGGUGAGAAUCUCGACGGCCGAAAGGGAAAGGGUUCCUCGGCACUGUUCGUCAGCCGAGGGUUAGCCGGUCCUCAGUGUUAUCGCAACUCGAAUAACACGAGCGGUAAACGGGUUAAUAUUCCCGUGCCAUCAUACAGUGAAAGUCGACGCCUUGGGGUCGGUCGAGCUGGGCUCUGCCCAGUCGAACCAUCAAAGCCCGUGGAAGCCGUAAUGGCACGAAGCGGGUGAACGGUGGGAUAGGGAAACUCGGCCUUACCUAGGGCCCGUGAAAAGACGAGUAUGAUGUCCGUACCGAGCACCGACACAGGUGCCCUGGCUGAGAAGGCCAAGGCCUGUCGGGAACAACCGACGUUAGGGAAUUCGGCAAUUUAGCCCCGUAAGUUCGCGAUAAGGGGUGCCUGCCCAGCAAUUGGGCAGGUCGCAGAGACCAGGAGGCUCCGACUGUCUAGUAACAACAUAGGUGACCGCAAAUCCGCAAGGACUCGUACGGUCACUGAAUCCUGCCCAGUGCGGGUAUCUGAACACCUAGUACAAUAGGACGAAGGACCCGUUAACGGCGGGGGUAACUAUGACCCUCUUAAGGUAGCGUAGUACCUUGCCGCUUCAGUAGCGGCUUGCAUGAAUGGAUCAACGAGAGCCUCGCUGUCCCAACGUUGGGCCCGGUGAAACGUACGUUCCAGUGCGGAGUCUGGAGUCCCCCAGGGGGAAGCGAAGACCCUAUAGAGCUUUACUGCAGGCUGUCGCUGGGACACGGUCGCUGAUGUGCAGCAUAGGUAGGAGCCGUCACACAGGUACCUGCGCUAGCAGGCCACCGAGGCAGCAGUGAAAUACUACCCGUCAGUGACUGUGACCCUCACUCCGGGAGGAGGACACCGGUAGCCGGGCAGUUUGACUGGGGCGGUACACGCUCGAAAAGAUAUCGAGCGUGCCCAAAGGAUACCUCAUUCGGGUCGGAGACCCGGAAAAGAGUGCAAGAGCAUAAGGUAUCCUGACAGUGUCCGGCAUAACGACGGACGCUGACGCGAAAGCGUGGUCUAGCGAACCAAUGAGCCUGCUUGAUGCGGGCCAUUGAUGACAGAAAAGCUACCUUAGGGAUAACAGAGUCGUCACUCGCAAGAGCACAUAUCGACCGAGUGGCUUGCUACCUCGAUGUCGGUUCCCUCCAUCCUGCCCGUGCAGAAGCGGGCAAGGGUGAGGUUGUUCGCCUAUUAAAGGAGGUCGUGAGCUGGGUUUAGACCGUCGUGAGACAGGUCGGCUGCUAUCUACUGGGGGUGCUAUGGUGUCUGACGGGAACGUCCGUAUAGUACGAGAGGAACUAUGGACGGAGGCCACUGGUGUACCGGUUGUCCAACAGGGCAAUGCCGGGCAGCUACGCCUCGCGGGGUAAGGGCUGAACGCAUCUAAGCCCGAAACCCACCCGGAAAAGAGACACCGCUGAGACCACUCGUAGAAGACGAGUUCGAUAGACUCGGGGUGUACGCACCGAGGCAACGAGGUGUUUAGCCCGCGAGUACUAACAGGUCGAAGCCACCAUUC
This is a ribosomal RNA of Halodesulfurarchaeum formicicum, 2926 nucleotides long. It matches the Rfam family "Archaeal large subunit ribosomal RNA". The record is from Rfam. NCBI's taxonomy places the organism in Archaea, Methanobacteriati, Methanobacteriota, Halobacteria, Halobacteriales, Halobacteriaceae.